CCAAAAGUAACUCUUCCUCUCUUUUUUUAAAUUGACUCGUCGCUCAUUAAAAAAUAUAUAUUGAUUUUCCAAGUUAGGAAUUUCUAACUUGGAUAAAGAAAUUCAAUUAUGUAUCAUUCGUUGGUUUAAUGAUUUAUUGAAACGACGAGUGUGGUUUCUCAGCAGUUUAUGAAAUUCAGAAGGAUGAUGUCUUUGAUCAUUCACUUAUGUUUUACUUGGUGCUUCAUAUGAAUCAGGAAGUUGCUUAUAUAUUCUUCUUCUUUUUCCUUUUGUAUCUUGGCAGGGUGCAUAUCAGUCGAAAAUCUUAACUUUUUACAUUCAAUAUUUAUUUUUGUUUUGAUGAAGCCACCACAAACUGUUACUGUCUUUUCACAAUUGGAAAUCGAUUAGUAACAUCAAGGCAAGUUUUUAUUGUUGUAUGUUAUGUUGUUUCCGAAUUCCAAGUAAUUUGAUAAUGUGAUAUAUGCCUUAAUUCACGACUCCAAAGCAUAUUCCUACUCCAUAGCUGUUAUGAUUGAUCUUAAUAUUUCCUCUUCCAUCCACCUUCUAAAAUCCUUGGAAUUAAAGUGAUUUAAUUGGAUCAUCCUCAACUUCGAAGACAAUAGGACCAAUGCACGAUCUGAUGAAUCAAACUCGAUCUUUAUACAUUUUUACAAUAUGAAUUCAACGAAAAUCUAGUCUCUAAAAUUCUAAUACAUACAGUUUAGACUGCAGAAAUAGGUUAAUCUAACCACAUUGUUUGAGAAUCGAAAACGAUUCUUAGUGCAUUUUCUGUCUAUCAAUUGUUUCAGGUACCCACUCUGAAGUUAAUUUACAUCGUUUUUACAUUCUAUGGGUUAGUUUCUUACAAGUUCAAAACACAAAAACCUCUCUUUUGUUUUAGCUUACUCUUCUCUCGCAUAAUCGUAAUGUAACCUUGAUUUUUCGUGGAUUCGCUAUGCGUUUACGGUCUGAAUAAAUUAGUGGUUAAAUCUGAAGGGCGCCCCUCUCUCGCGGUUAUUAUGGCAACUGAAAUGUCUUCCCACCUAUCAUGACUGCUUGGGACCGUUCUCGUUCCGUUGUCAUAUUGUACUGACGUAUCGACGACAGUUUCUUUCGGUCCUAAGUUUCAAAAUCUUUGUCGUCUAAUCUUUUCUUAGUGGUUGUUUAGUAUGAUAUUUGUUUUUCUUCGUCGUUUUUACUAUUACUAAUUUUCUUGUACCUUCUUUAAUAAAUUUAAAAUAAUAUAAUUUAUAUAUAUAUAUAUAUAUAUAUUUGUUAAAAAAGUGUUAUGUAGAAGUAUUUUGGCCUAGUAUUCAAGGUUCAAAGGCUUUUACACCAUGUCUAUGGUUCUAUAUAUAGAAACUACAUCGUGAAAUUUUCCUUGAAAUUAUUCAUCAAUACUGCAUAUAUUUUGACUCAUGUAUGACUACAAGCUGACCAAGCAUAUGGUUAGAGCCGUGAUGUGUAUAAUUAUUAUAAAUGCCAAAUAUUUUCACCAAAGUGUAAUUAGUUCUAUCGGUGUUUGUCCAGUUCUAUAUUGUAAACGGCCGUGAGUUUAACUCUUUCAAACUCAUUGCCACAUAAAUUUUAAUUUUUUUUCAAAAUAAAUAAUUGGAGAGCCAAAAAUAUAUUUUGUGCUUGGGGACUCACGAAAUUCAGGCACGACCAUGAAUAUAUUGCAGGUAGUUUAUUAUCAUUUAUAGUAGAGAUUAUAUAAUGAUACAAUCCAGUGUUAGAAAAAAAUAAAGAGUGUCAUGUUUGCUAUGGUUGACAAAAUCAUACAUAAUUAUGACGCGUAUUAUGAACUCCAAAAUUAGCGAAGUGUAAAAGAUUAUGACCAAUCCAACAACUAACCGUACUAUGGGCCCUUGCGAUACCAAUUUGUGCUUAUCCAUUUGACAUCUAUUUUUUUUAGACAUCUUUUCAUAUUAUUGAAUUGACUUUUUAAAGAUAAAUCUAACUUCUUGUUUUCUUGUGGAUUGUUAACACGUAGCAUUUACUUACAAGUACACCCCACCUUGCAUGCAUCCUAUAAAUAGGGGUUCUGCAUGGGACACUAUACUCACCAGCUCCUUCUUCGCUAUUACUUUUGGAUAGAUCAUUGGUGUUUUGAGAGAUUGCUUACGAUGGCUUCUAAAUCUUUGCUUCUCUUAAGUCUCAUUGUUGUUAUCCUCAUUGCCUCUGAGGUGGCAGCCAGGGACCUAGCUGAUAGCUCGGCAGAAAAUAAGAACAAUGGUAUGUAGAAAUGUCAUUAUACCCUAAGAAAAUUAUUAUUUUUGAAUACGUAUGAUCGGAACAAGCAUGUAAGGCCAUUUGAAUAUUCAUGAAAGUUGAAGUCACUUUAGAAGUUUGAUUUGUCAUACCUUUCACCUUCUUAUCUCCAGCAUGUAGAAACUUUUCUUUGAAUUAGAAAAACCUAUUUCGAACCCUUCCGAAAAUUUUGGUGUGCUUCAAGACGAGUGAGUCAAAAGUGAUCAGAAAUCACUAUUGCCUUGUUUCUUCUUUUUUUCACCAAUCACUCAUGUUUAUUCAGUAAUUUGUAAAAUAAGUACGAGUUCCCCU
This 2544-nucleotide long non-coding RNA is filed under the name Brassica rapa (field mustard). RNAcentral's name for it is "long non-coding RNA (BRAP_LNC002110)". The record is from RNAcentral. Lineage: Eukaryota; Viridiplantae; Streptophyta; Magnoliopsida; Brassicales; Brassicaceae.